UGCACAAUGACUUGCGGGUUCAAUUGCCGCGGUACCCUGACCGUGCUAAGGUAGCGUAAUCAAUAGCCUAUUAAUUGUUGGCAUGUAUGAACGGCACGACGCUGGUGGCGCUGUCUCUAUGAUGUUUUGUUGAAUUUAACCUUUUGGUGAAAAGGCCAAAAUCUCCCUAAAAGACGAUAAGACCCUGUCGAACUUUAGGCUAGGCAUCGGUUUGCACCGAUGAUGAACCUUUGGUUGGGGAAACCGAGGACCAAAUAAAGCGUCCACCCGUAACUGUUAGCCAAGAGGUUAAUUACCAAAGUUUGAAUAAAAGGAUCUGGCGGGAUAUAAGUUAUUAGAGUGAUCCGGAUAAUCUUCGAUCGUGGGAAAAGUUACCGCAGGGAUAACAGCGUAAUCCUCUCGGAGAGACCACAUUAAUGAGGGGGUUUGCGACCUCGAUGUUGGCUUGGGGCGUCCCGAAAGUGCAGGAGCUUUCAAAGGUUGGUCUG
This 488-nucleotide ribosomal RNA is filed under the name Patelloida saccharina. Its description in RNAcentral is "partial 16S ribosomal RNA". It matches the Rfam family "Bacterial large subunit ribosomal RNA", at positions 1860 to 2579 of the family's 2925-position model. Lineage: Eukaryota; Metazoa; Mollusca; Gastropoda; Lottiidae. The record is from RNAcentral.